This 253-nucleotide ribosomal RNA is filed under the name uncultured bacterium. RNAcentral describes it as "partial 16S ribosomal RNA". It matches the Rfam family "Bacterial small subunit ribosomal RNA", at positions 524 to 776 of the family's 1533-position model. The record is from RNAcentral.
UACGAAGGGGGUUAGCGUUGUUCGGAAUUACUGGGCGUAAAGGGCGCGUAGGCGGCGUGUCAAGUCAGGCGUGAAAGCCCCGGGCUCAACCUGGGAACCGCGCUUGAGACUGGCAUGCUCGAGUUCGGGAGAGGAUGGUGGAAUUCCCAGUGUAGAGGUGAAAUUCGUAGAUAUUCGCAAGAACACCAGUGGCGAAGGCGGCUCACUGGCCCGGUACUGACGCUGAGGUGCGAAAGCGUGGGGAGCAAACAGG